This is a small nuclear RNA of Diospyros lotus (date-plum), 197 nucleotides long. RefSeq annotates it as U2 spliceosomal RNA. Lineage: Eukaryota; Viridiplantae; Streptophyta; Magnoliopsida; Ericales; Ebenaceae. The record is from RefSeq and is a predicted model, not a curated record. The transcript has a single exon.
AUACCUUUCUCGGCCUUUUGGCUAAGAUCAAGUGUAGUAUCUGUUCUUAUCAGUUUAAUAUCUGAUACGUGGGUCAUCGGCCCACAUGAUAUUAAAUUAAUUUUUUGAGGGGGAGGGCCGUUGGCGGUAGCUUGCUACUGUGGUCACUCGAGCGUCGCCUUGGCGUUGCACCACUGCCCUGGCCUGGCGCGCCCCGC